This is a long non-coding RNA of Helianthus annuus (common sunflower), 769 nucleotides long. RefSeq lists it as uncharacterized. The record is from RefSeq and is a predicted model, not a curated record. The transcript is spliced from 2 exons. NCBI's taxonomy places the organism in Eukaryota, Viridiplantae, Streptophyta, Magnoliopsida, Asterales, Asteraceae.
UUCCCUUCUAUCUCUUUCUCUCAUCUCUCUGUUUCUUUCUCCACCUCCACCUAGUGAGCAACACCACCACCAUUAGCCGCCAUCUCUCUCUCUCUUCCUUAAACUCUCUCUCUCUCUCUCUCUCUCUCUAAAUCGUUAUAACAAGAUCUGUAACAUUCCAACCGUCGAAACAGUUAAUAUUGAGGAUUAGGGAUUUAAAACACUAAGAUGGAUUUUGGUAGCAAGAGAUGCUGGUAGCGAGAGAGAUCUGGGCUUGUUUCCUGAUUGGCACAAAAGACUUUAACGGCCACUGAUUUGCAGGUACUAGUGGAUGCAGAGUGCACCCAUGAUGGUUCAAUUAAACAUAUCCUGAAGUUUGAAAACUGGGGAUGGACAACUUUAGAGCGUCGGGUUUUUGAUGCAAAGAGAACCAGUGAUUUGACUGUUCUUCAGGUAGGACUAGGACUGGUUGUUUUUUUUUUUUGGUUGGGUAUGUAGAGUUAUUGGACAUAGAUGGUUCAGAAUGUUGGCCCUGCAAGAGUGGACGGAUACCGAAAACUUUGCGGUUUGAUCCAUUGACUUCUAGAACAAGUGGCCUUUUUGUUGCCAAGCUCACAAAACAUCCAGAAAGACAACCAAGUUUUCAGAGCCUGAAUGGUGCUAGAAGUGAGGCUCCUAACGGCAGAGUUUGUGCAGUUAAUUAUUGUACCAUGAACCCAAUUUAUUAGCAACUAUCCCUCCCUGUAAGAAAUGGUUAUCUGACAUGGAGCAAAACAAGGGAAUGGUUAUC